UGAUGGGAGAUGUUCUUAAGCUGUUUCCACAUUUUAAUCCAUCUCUCCUUUGGAAAUUGGCGGAGUUGAUCAACCAUGUAACCUGGUUGAAUUGCCUCAUUUAUAGAGAAGAAAACUGAGAAUUGGCUGUAAUCAAUGUCAUCCUCAUAAGGGAGCUCAAUUUGAUCACUCACAAUGACUGGAACACAAUGGCUUACAAUAGCA
RNAcentral lists this unclassified non-coding RNA (204 nucleotides) under Hevea brasiliensis (rubber tree). Lineage: Eukaryota; Viridiplantae; Streptophyta; Magnoliopsida; Malpighiales; Euphorbiaceae. The record is from RNAcentral.